UUCUAGCAGAGGAAUUUGUUCUGCUAAGAGCUCUUACUAUAAUCUUUAUUUUCUCUUUACUUAUAGGAAUUUUUGUUUGCUUCUUGGUUUGUUUUAUUUUCCCAGAGGUCAAGAUUCAAGGUGAGCUUUACGUUUUCUUUUGGACAACACAAAUGUACACACUCAGCGUGGACUGGUGCAGACCCUCACAUCCUGAUGCUAUAGGGUGGGAUACUCCGAGCUGAGCUGAAGUCACAUCUUGGUUAUUAUCCUUUGAGGACUAUGGCCCUUCCAGCCAAUCACUCACACAACAACCACCCACUGCCCAACCACCACCACCACCACUGACGAGAUGAUGCCCACAGCGGUGUUUCCAACAACAGCCAUGACUACACCUGACCUCUCAACCACAAGACCACUUCAGAUGAGAGCUGCGCUCUCAGGCAUGGCCUCCACAUGCUUUCUGACAAGCUCACUUCCUGAGGAAGACACGACACUGCUGACCCUUGAGCCUUCCACCGAAAAGCCCAUUCUCCCCGCAGAAUCAGAAAGUGUCCUCCCCAGGACCUCUCAGAGAAGCACAGAGGCGAUUUCAGGAGACACUGCCUUGCUCACAUCCAAGGCUCCAACUACAACAACAACCACUACUCCAACAACGACCACCACUACUACAACUCAAUGA
This 661-nucleotide long non-coding RNA is filed under the name Capra hircus (goat). Its description in RNAcentral is "lncRNA (ENSCHIG00000007027.1)". The record is from RNAcentral. Lineage: Eukaryota; Metazoa; Chordata; Mammalia; Artiodactyla; Bovidae.